AGUAAAAGUCGUAACAAGGUCUCCGUAGGUGAACCUGCGGAGGGAUCAUUACACAACAAAAUAUGAAGGCCUGGCUUCGCGGCCGGCUGAAGUAUUUUUUUUUCACCCAUGUCUUUUGCGCACUUGUUGUUUCCUGGGCGGGUUCGCCCGCCACCAGGACCAAACCAUAAACCUUUUUUUUUAUGUAGUUGCAAUCAGCGUCAGUAAAAACAAUGUAAUUAUUACAACUUUCAACAACGGAUCUCUUGGUUCUGGCAUCGAUGAAGAACGCAGCGAAAUGCGAUACGUAGUGUGAAUUGCAGAAUUCAGUGAAUCAUCGAAUCUUUGAACGCACAUUGCGCCCUUUGGUAUUCCAAAGGGCAUGCCUGUUCGAGCGUCAUUUGUACCUUCAAGCUUUGCUUGGUGUUGGGCGUUUUUGUCUCUCGUUCUCGGGAGACUCGCCUUAAAACGAUUGGCAGCCGGCCUACUGGUUUCGGAGCGCAGCACAUAUUUUGCGCUUUGUAUCAGGAGAAAAGGACGGUAAUCCAUCAAGACUACAUUUUUUAACUUUUGACCUCGGAUCAGGUAGGGAUACCCGCUGAACUUAAGCAUAUCAAUAAGCGGAGGAAAAGAAACCAACAGGGAUUGCCCCAGUAACG
RNAcentral lists this ribosomal RNA (638 nucleotides) under uncultured fungus. RNAcentral's name for it is "eukaryotic LSU rRNA". The stretch from base 226 to 379 matches the Rfam family "5.8S ribosomal RNA". The record is from RNAcentral. Lineage: Eukaryota; Fungi.